CCUUUUGAUAAGCCAUGUCGAUCAAAAAGCCAACCAUGUCGGAACCCGAAAUAUAUGGACUGAAUUAUCCAUGUUGCAGACCCACGACGCAACUACGAAUAACAAGAAAAGCAUAACCCAGUCAGCUCAGAAAGAUUUGCCCAGUUAGGUUUUUUAGCUGUUAUGGAAUUUUUGUAAUUUCCUUUGAUUUUGUUUUGAUCGUGUAAACAUAGAAGUAUGAGUUUUUGUUAUUUUCUCUUGUACUUAAAUUCACUGCAAAUGAAUAAAAGAGUAGAUCAUUUUUUCCCAAACAAUCCAACAGUGUCGUUUUCUCACUACAACCAGAAAAUAUUCAAACUCUUGCUGAUUCUUCCACUAUGAUCGGGACAUAUCAUUGGUAUCAUAACAAGAAUAACAUGACAUCCAAGAAAGAGUGUAUCGAGAAUUUAGAAAUGUGACUCGGCGGCCUACAAGAUAGCAUGAGUCAGCUUGAAGUCGGGAUAGUUGACAAAUUCUGACAAAUUGAAGAAAACUCAGGCAUAUGACCGAAUUCAUGACGAUAAAAAGUGAAGGUUCAAGUAGUAGCUCGGUGGGCCGACCGAAUCUGACGCGAAUACC
This 597-nucleotide long non-coding RNA is filed under the name Carica papaya (papaya). RNAcentral's name for it is "long non-coding RNA (CPAP_LNC001227)". The record is from RNAcentral. Lineage: Eukaryota; Viridiplantae; Streptophyta; Magnoliopsida; Brassicales; Caricaceae.